This 525-nucleotide RNase P RNA is filed under the name Acidobacteriota bacterium. RNAcentral describes it as "Acidobacteria bacterium RNase P RNA component class A". It matches the Rfam family "Bacterial RNase P class A". From Rfam's summary of the family: Ribonuclease P (RNase P) is a ubiquitous endoribonuclease, found in archaea, bacteria and eukarya as well as chloroplasts and mitochondria. Lineage: Bacteria; Pseudomonadati; Acidobacteriota. The record is from RNAcentral.
AGAGCAGGUCGGGCGGUCGCUGCUUCGUGCUUUUCAGUAUUUCAGAUCACAAAUCUGAAAUUUGAAAUCAGGACGAAGGAGAGGAAAGUCCGAACACCAAAGGGCAGCGAGCCCGCUAACGGCGGGGCGGACGAUGGCAAUCUCAAAUCCGAGAUCUCGUUUUGAGACUGCUACGGCCGACGACAAGUGCAACAGAAAACAGACCAGCCUUCGCUUCAUUUCAGAUCUCAAAUUUGAGAUCUAAGAUCCGAGGCGGGGUGAUGGGUGAAAUGGUGCGGCCCGCAAGGGCUUAAUGUAAGAGCGCACCGGCGCGGGUGGCGACAUCCGCGGCCAGGCAAACUCCUCGCGGUGCAAGACCAAAUAGGGAAGCGUUAUCAGGGCUGCCCGCUCGAAGCUUCCGGGUAGGUCGCUUGAUCCAAUCGGCAACGGUUGGGCUAGAGGAAUGAUCGCCACUUCGAUUUCAGAGUUUGAGAUUUCAAAUCUGAAAUCGAAGCACAGAAUUCGGCUUACAGGCUUGCUCUCAAU